UUUUUUUUUUUUUUUUUUAAUGAUUGUAUUUAUUCAUGAGAGACACAGAGAGACAUAGGCAGAAGGAGAAGUAGGCUCCCUGCGGGGAGCCCAAUGUAGGACUUGAUCCAACCUGAGCCAAAGGCAGAUGCUCAACCACUGAGCCACCCAAGCACCCUGAAGCCAAAAUUCCUUAGCACAUAAGGUACUUUAGGACUCCAAAUCACUAUUCUAGUCCCAUUUCCCAGUAAAUUAAGCCCUCUCUCUAGCAGUACAGUUUAUUGCCAAUAUGGUCAGCAUGCUACCUACAGUCAUCAUUUCCCUGAAUUUCCUGCCUUUUUAUUUCCUUAUUUUUCAGGAUAUAAUUCAAAGUCAUUUGUUCUCUAAGAUGGUCCUUCUCACCUAGUAAUAGAGAUUGGUCCCUUUUUUGGUCCAUCACUCUACGACCCUCUGAAACUUAGUUUACUUGUCCAUAAAAUGGAAAUAAAUAAAUAAAUCUUUUUUUCCUACCCAGAAAAAAAGAACAGUUUGAACAAUGCUUAUUUAAUACUGAAAAACUAUAAAUCAAUAUAGAAAUAGUGCAGGCAUAGAUCCAAGAGCUUCAUGGACAUUAUCUUACUCAAUCCUUAAAGAUUAAGCAGGUACAUGAGUAAGUAUAUUCUUAUUUAAAAACAAAAAGAAAAGCAAAAACAAAAACAAGAGAAAAAGACAGAAAACCUUCCUAUUCACAUCAUUACCCAUCUAUGAUACUCCCCUCUCCUCCAAACUGCUUCCACACCUAUUAUUUGAUCACUUCUAAAAAAUGCAUUUUUUCCUAACUUAACAACAUUUAAUUAUUUGACUUCAACUUGUCCACUAUAUAGCACCACAGGUUGUUAACCAGAAAUCUAAAAUUAUGUUCAACUAGAUGAGGUGUUAGAGUCACAUUUGAAGGGUUAAACUGUAUUAAUUAAUUAUGUAAGUUAAGAUUCCUCAGGAGGCUUGGGGCAAAGCACCAAUUCACAGAGCAGGAGGAGAAUGAAACAAAAAGAACCUAAUUAGUCAUGUAAUUAACUCUUUCAGUGAUGUGGUGAUAACAUGAUACAAUAUAAGUGUUAUGAAUAUGCUUAAGGAACAUCAGGGUAUCACUUGAACAUUCUCAAGAAUAUAACCAACACUGGGAUGAGGAUUUGGCCCCUUCAGCCAAAACUUACGGAUUCAUUUAAACUACAUCAAUGUGUUACAAACAUUUACUGACCUUCCACUACUGAGGCAACUUUUUUCCUAAUUAAAUAUAUUAUAUCUAUAUACCUGGAAAUACAGUGUCUGACGAAACACAUUUUUCCCAUAGUUUUCUAUAGGCAGCAAAUCUAAAAGAAUUCAAAGGAAAAAAAUGUGCUUCGUGGAAGUCACUUAUUUCAUUUUGGUGACUAAAUGCACUUGCAGAAAGGAUUACAUUUUGUUUGACAAUUUAUUUUAUUGGCAAAACAUAUUUCAUCACAUAUUCCAUCACAUUCAGUAGACAAAUGCAUGUUGUCAAAUAUCUUAUUUCCUGCCUUUGAUGAAAAACACAUAUUUUUUAGAAUCCAUAUUUUUUUAAAUGGUGGAGUUCUACAGAUAAGCUCCAUUUGCUCUAAAUUGGCCAGGGGUGUCUAGAUUUGGAUUCUAUCCUAAAUAUAUGACUUCCUCUUUCAAUAUAAUGUAAAUUAACCUCAAAGGGAAUAUUAAUGUCCAUCUUCACCACAGAAACAUCGAAAUUCAGUUUACACUGUAACUAUUAUGAUAGGUUCCUUUUGUCUAAACAUAAAAAUCAAAUGGUUCACACACAUUCGCCAGCUGCUAAAAUGCAAUUACCCUUUACAAGGUAACACACAUACAAAGUAAAUAUUUAAUCUAACCUAUUUGUAUAUCCGUUUAAUGUUGAUAAUUCAAUUAUUGUCUUCCUUUUCAUAUUUGCCCUUAUACCUGGUAUACGUAUUAAAUUAUAAAUAUGUUCUUAGAGGUCAAGAAGCAGAUCUGUAUAAUUUGUUCUGAGGAGCACUCAGCACAGUGCUUUAUGAAAAUAGGCGUUUAAUCAAUCGAUGGCCGUGGCACAAUGAUAAUGACCUUUUCCAGCCAAAAAACUUUAAUUGCCAAAACAUUCUGCCUUUUUUCACAUCAAUAAUCAUUUUAUGAGAACCUAUAAUAUGCCACACACCAUAAACAUUUCAAGGGAUACAGAAGUCGACAAUCAUGAUCCUUGCUUUCAAGGGUUCACAAUCUAGAAGGCAGAGUGGGAAUGAAGAUAAGUAAUUGCAAUACAGGCUGAUACAAACCAAAUGGAGUUUGUGUUGGGUCCAUACAUAGUACAAAGGCAAGAGGGAUUAACAUAGUUAAAGUGGAGGAAAGCAGGAUGUGUUUGAUAAACUAACAUGAAUAGAUUUUAAGACUGAAGAGAUGUUCUCCAGUGGAAUGAAGAAAUGCAUUCCAGGAAGGGAAAAACAUGUGUUCUAAUAGAGAAGAAAGAAAUUGUGUGUGUGUGUGUGUGUGUGUGUGUGUAAAUCCACCAUUCUACCAGUAUUACUGUAGUGUGAAAUAUGAGGGGGACCUACCAGAGAAGACAUUGAAA
Molecule: long non-coding RNA, 2566 nt
Filed under: Canis lupus familiaris (dog)
Lineage: Eukaryota; Metazoa; Chordata; Mammalia; Carnivora; Canidae
Description: lncRNA (ENSCAFG00845000225.1)
Source: RNAcentral